This 90-nucleotide transfer RNA is filed under the name Candidatus Dojkabacteria bacterium. RNAcentral's name for it is "tRNA-Ser". It matches the Rfam family "tRNA". Rfam says of the family: Transfer RNA (tRNA) molecules are approximately 80 nucleotides in length. Their secondary structure includes four short double-helical elements and three loops (D, anti-codon, and T loops). The record is from RNAcentral.
GGAGAGAUGCCUGAGUGGUUGAAAGGGAAGCUCUCGAAAAGCUUUGUAUGAUUUUUCAUACCGGGGGUUCGAAUCCCUCUCUCUCCGCCA